RNAcentral lists this ribosomal RNA (468 nucleotides) under uncultured bacterium. RNAcentral describes it as "partial 16S ribosomal RNA". It matches the Rfam family "Bacterial small subunit ribosomal RNA", at positions 28 to 507 of the family's 1533-position model. The record is from RNAcentral.
GACGAACGCUGGCGGCGUGCUUAACACAUGCAAGUCGAACGGAAAGGCCCUGCUUUUGUGGGGUGCUCGAGUGGCGAACGGGUGAGUAACACGUGAGUAACCUGCCCUUGACUUUGGGAUAACUUCAGGAAACUGGGGCUAAUACCGGAUAGGAGCUCCUGUUGCAUGGUGGGGGUUGGAAAGUUUCGGCGGUUGGGGAUGGACUCGCGGCUUAUCAGCUUGUUGGUGGGGUAGUGGCUUACCAAGGCUUUGACGGGUAGCCGGCCUGAGAGGGUGACCGGCCACAUUGGGCCUGAGAUACGGCCCAGACUCCUACGGGAGGCAGCAGUGGGGAAUAUUGCACAAUGGGCGGAAGCCUGAUGCAGCAACGCCGCGUGCGGGAUGACGGCCUUCGGGUUGUAAACCGCUUUCGCCUGUGACGAAGCGUGAGUGACGGUAAUGGGUAAAGAAGCACCGGCUAACUACGUG